CACUUUGCCUUUAUGGCAAAUGUGAGAUGCAGUGUAUGGAAUGUCAAAUUUCUAGUAUGAGAAAUUAACGAUUUAAGUCCUUCUUAAAUGAGGCCAUUUACCCAUAGAGGGUGCCAGGCCCGUAUAACGUUAAUGAUUACUAGAUGACAUUUCCAAAGAGUCGUGUUGCUUGAUAGUGCAGCACUAAGUGGGUGGUAAACUCCAUCUAAAACUAAAUAUAACCAUGAGACCGAUAGUAAACAAGUACCGUGAGGGAAAGUUGAAAAGAACUCUGAAUAGAGAGUUAAAUAGUACGUGAAACUGCUUAGAGGUUAAGCCCGAUGAACCUGAAUAUCCAUUAUAGAAAAUUCAUCAUUAUGAUUUUAAUAUUUAUAAUAUUAUAAUAAUGUUGUGCACUUUUUCUAUAGAGGACAUUGUAAUCUAUUAACAUAAAACUAAAUUUAUCAUAAGAUCAAGUAUGCGUAAGUUUAUUCAAAUUAUUUUGCUUGCAAUUUAACAUAAAAUAAAUGCUCUUGAUUUGAUAAAGUGUUGAUAGAUUUAUUACAUAUAGUGCUUAAAUAUUUAUAUUUUAUAGUAGCAUAUUAAUUUUUAAUUUUUAUGUUUACUAUAUGCACUUAUAUGAUUAACAAUGCGAAAGAUUCAGGAUACCUUCGGGACCCGUCUUGAAACACGGACCAAGGAGUCUAACAUAUUUGCAAGUUAUUGGGAAUAAAAACCUAAUAGCGUAAUUAACAUAACUUAAAUAUAAUGGGAUUAGUUUUUAGCCUAUUUAUAGUCUAUUAAUUCAAUCCCGGGGCGUUCUAUAUGGUUAUGUAUAAUAAUAUUUAUAUUAUUUAUGCCUCUAACUGGAACGUACCUUGAGCAUAUAUGCUGUGACCCGAAAGAUGGUGAACUAUACUUGAUCAGGUUGAAGUCAGGGGAAACCCUGAUGGAAGACCGAAACAGUUCUGACGUGCAAAUCGAUUGUCAGAAUUGCAGUAUAGGGCG
This 987-nucleotide ribosomal RNA is filed under the name Winthemia rufonotata. RNAcentral's name for it is "eukaryotic LSU rRNA". It matches the Rfam family "Eukaryotic large subunit ribosomal RNA", at positions 120 to 925 of the family's 3401-position model. Lineage: Eukaryota; Metazoa; Arthropoda; Insecta; Diptera; Tachinidae. The record is from RNAcentral.